Pelobates cultripes (western spadefoot toad) is the source of this 236-nucleotide non-coding RNA. NCBI's taxonomy places the organism in Eukaryota, Metazoa, Chordata, Amphibia, Anura, Pelobatidae. The record is from the annotation of a GenBank genome assembly.
CUCCCAUUAAGUAUUGCAACACUGUAUCUUUCGGUAGUUAAUAGAUGUUCAAGGUGGCCGCCGUUCGGCUACUGACCACGCAGUGGUCGGCCAUCUUGAAUCCUUAGUUAGCCCAGCGGUAUUUUGCCAUUGAGCGCCUGGAACUAAAAUCGGCUACUCGACGGCACAAAUACCGCUGGACUUCCAGGCCGUUCGGGAGCACCGGUCUUUCGGUAUUUUAGCCCUGAUGGUCUAUU